Small nucleolar RNA from Myodes glareolus (Bank vole), 134 nucleotides. RefSeq annotates it as small nucleolar RNA SNORA72. NCBI's taxonomy places the organism in Eukaryota, Metazoa, Chordata, Mammalia, Rodentia, Cricetidae. The record is from RefSeq and is a predicted model, not a curated record.
CUAAAAAUAACUAACUACAGUUCUGAUCCUAUGAUAAUCAGGACAGGCUAGACAUUCACUAUAGUAAGACCAUAAAUGUGUCCCCAGACCUUGUUCUUUACCUAGGUCUGAUUAUCUAAAUGCUGGUGACAAGC